GACCUGUAGCUCUAGAGGCUGGUCUUCCCCCUGAGGUCUCCUAGGAAAAGGCUCAGUUCUUGGAGAUGAAAGAGCCCACAGAGGUCAUCUUGGCCAGCCAAUACCCUUCCCAAUACCCCUAAGAGGUGGUCAUGCUGGCUGUGCUUGAUUACCUCCAGUGAUGGGGAGCUCAGUCUCUAUGGAGACAACCUGUUUCAUUAUUGGCCAACUCUAACUGCUGAACAGUGCCAACGUGACUUCUACAUAGCUCCAAUCUGCCUCGAUGCCACUUCCAUUGCCCUAGUUUCACCCUGUGGAGCCACAGAGAACACAUUUAAAUUCCUCUUCCUUGUGACAGCCCUUCAAAUAUUUGAAAGCAGCUCUCAUGUCCCCCCUCAGCUUCUUCUCCAGGCUAAACAUAGCUCUUUCAGCCAUUGCUCAUAUGACAUGGCUUCAGUCGGCACCACUGUCCUCAUCAUUUUCCACUGGAUGGAUACCAGCUUUUCACGGUCCUUCUUACAGUGUGGGGCCCUGGAGGCACUGAUCUGAGCAGAGGGGAGUUGCACACUCACUUUAUUCCUACCCUCACACGUCUGCUGUCACAGCCCUGCUUGGCAGAUACCCUCUCUCUUUACACACAACAAAUCCGGCAGUCUUUCUCACGCGUGCUGCGGUGAAGCCACACCCCGCUCUGGGACUCAGGCAGCCAUGUUUCAGGGCCCAAGCACAGGGCUUUCGCUUUGUGGAUUCAUGCUAUUGUUCCGGGCUGACUGGAUAUUUGGGUCCUAAUUCUCUCAUUCGGCAUUGGUGGCCCCCCUCGCUCUGCGCUGCUCGCGUUGCUGAGCGCGCCGCCUGUGCCCGCCCCAUCACCCGGAAACACGAGCCACAGGAAUGGGCACGUGCGUCCCUCUCAGGCUCACGUGAAGUCGUUAUUCAGCACCCUCUUGGGGGUGGCCAUUCACACAUCACAGGUCAUACUGUCGCAGAGCUCCCGUUCCGUCACCCGCUCACAAGGGUGCUCGGGGAAGCCGGGUUACAGUCCAUGUAUUCUGCGUCUACACAUGAUCCUCGCCGAAGCGUCUUGUCGUACUCUUGAAGAAAAGUGUGGCGGCAGCGGUGUCCCAUGCGAGGUGAACCCAGGCUGCUCCCACUGGUCUCCGGCAGGUGUGGAGGGCCGGCGCAUCUCCAGGUUGCCCUGGAGACGGGAGGGAGGCAAGCGUCCCCGCAAGGCAGCAGUGUUGGCAGGGCAGGGGCCCGUGUGGAGCCGCGGGGGCCGAUCGGCAGGUGGGGAAGGCUCUGGGCUCCCGGCUGAGGUCACAAGGAAGGACUGAGCCCUGGGUGGCAGAUGUAGGGCAAGGGGUGCCUCCUUCCUCUUCUAGGUCUCUCACCUGUGGAACUUUCCCCGGGGACCAGACCCAGUGGUUUUAUAACUAGUGAGACUGUAGAUCUCACAUUUCUCUGGCCUUUUUUCCUUCCUCCUUUCCCACUUCCCCUGCCUUCUUUUCCUUUUCCCCCUUCCUUUCAUCAGUUGUUUCUUGCCCUCUGAGCACGUCUGCCUCGGUCCUCACUGUUGCUGGGCUGGCGUCCUCCAGGUUGCAGGCCAUUGGGCGAGACACAUGUCAAUCAACAACAGCCCGGCCAUGGCGAGAGGCGGGCCAAAGCGCGCACAGGGCGCUAAGGCAACCCGAAGUUUCUGGAUCCUCCCCAGGCUGGACGUUCGGUCCCGUGGUCUUCAGAAGCCUUUGAACUCGCCCUGGAGUCAUUCCAUUUUGGUAUCUGUGUGACAACUUCCUGGAUAGAUUCACUCCUGAAGGAGAUAAAAUUCCCCUUAGUUAGACUCUGGACUUGUUUUUGGGUGUAGAAAAUGUGUCCCCAUAAUUAAAGUCAGCCCAGGUCAUUUUGGGAUUCAGAAUGCUGCUGAAUUUGAGGACGAAACCUGACAGAGAGCAACUAACCAUAGGUCAGUGUGAUAUACUGGAGCCAGCACCACUGGCGGGCUCGGAGCCUGGGAGAACCAGGAGCUCUUAGCACCUUCUGGAGAGAGUGUAGACUCUGACAUUACUCUUGUGGCUCUUCCUCUCAUUGGCUGUGUGACCUUGAGACUCUUAACCUCUCUGGACCUCAGUUUUCCACAUCUGUGAGAUGGGGGUAAUACUUUUGCUGGAUCAUUGUGAGGAUUGCCUGAAUUCGUGCUGUACCUGGUUUAUAGCAGCCUGUUGUAUUUAUUACUUCACAGCUCUGCCGCUGAUAGAACUAGGAGCUCUGUUUAAAAAUCUGUGACUCUUCUAGAAAAGAAAAGAAAAAUGAUGGAGAACAUGAAUAAUGUAGGUUCCGUAGGGUGCUUGAAUUACAGUUUCAAAGUAAUUUCUGAUUUGCGUUUCUCGUGCAGGUCACUGUCAGUCUGCCUUUCUUCACUGUGAGGUUUGUUAGAAAGUCUUUGAGAGAGGAAAGUGCAGCUGCAUUUCAAAGGGAAAAUACAGGCUGUCCCUUUGUUUGGGACAGCUGGGCCCCAAGUAGCAGGGCUCAGGAAGCUUGUCCUGAUGACAGCGACAGGUGGGCCAGGGCCUGUCCGGGUCUGAGAGGCGGUGUAAGUGUAGGAGCCCCCAGGGUGCCGAUCUGGGAGUGCUAUUGCGUAGCUAGGAUGAGAGGAUGGAAUAAUGCCAUGUAGGAGGGGACACAAGGCCUUCCUGGGCUCCUGGGCAGGGUCUGGGGUAGAGGAGAAUCAAAGUGGGGAAAAUUCUUCCUGCUUCUCUGACCUUCACCGCCCCUUCCCCAAUUUCAAGGCCAAGAUCUGAGUUCCGGGUUCUCAGUGCUUGCCACUGUCCCCACUUCUCUCCUCACAGGACUCAGCCCAGCCUGGCAGCCAGGUUGCUGCAGGUCAGGCUCACCCUUGUCUGAAGAUCAUUUCUCUCCUGGAUUUGUCCCCUUUUCCCCUUCCUCCUGAGUCCCACCGUUGUGCCGUUUCAUUAGGAUUUCCCAAUUCCAAAUUCCGUGAUAUGGCCAGCCCAUGCCAUUCCACACUAAGUCAGCAGAUUUCAUUCUAUUUAUAGGACGAUGCGACAAUUCAGACCUGGCGCCUCCUCUGCUGGCCUGGCAGCCACAAUAGACUUUGUUUUCUUUUCUCUUUUUUCUUUAUUCUCUUAGUUUUAAAGAUAAUUAUUCUCACAAGUAAUAUGCAAAUAUAUUCUCUCUGGGAAAGAUUUUAAAAACAGAGAAAUAUAGAGUAAAAUAUUUAGGUUCCCCUUCAUUCAAUUCUGACUGUUAAUAGUUUGGUAUGUUUCUUUCCAGUCUUUCUUCUAUGCGUUUAUAUACGUACCUGUAUAAACACAAAUGCAAAUAUAUAUGUGUGUGUAUGGUAAAGAGUUUAACCUUGCCCAAACGGGGGACUGGCCUGGCUCCUGGGAGGUAAGCUUUCUUGACCUGGGGGUCUUGGGCCAGCUGGAUAGUAACAGUGUGAUUUAGCAUGAGGCUGGCCAUGUUGGAAAGACCAACAAUGUGAUUUUGGGUGGGGGUUUUGGGUCAUGCAGUAUCAGGUGACCUACAGCUUAAACCAACCCUAUGGGCAAUCAAUCAAUCAAUCAUGUCUAUGUAAUGGAGCCCCAAUAAGCACUCUGAAUGCUGAGGCUCAGGUGAACUUCUCUUGUAGAUGAUGCUCUGUGCAUCUUGUCAACCAUCAGAGAUGUUUGACGGAGAUGCACAGAGAUGUGAGCAGAGUAACGUGCCCAUGACCCCGUGGGGAGAAGACAGUGGAAACUCGACAUUUGGCACUUCUCCUGGACUCUUCCCUUUGCUCUUCUUCUCUUGGCUGAUUUUAAUCUGUGUCCUUUCCCUGUAAUAAACUGUAACUGUGAGUGUAAGAGUUUUUAUGAGUUCUGUGAGUUUUCCUAGAAAAUUAUUGACCCUGAGGGUUUUGGGAACCCUCUGAAUUUGCAAUUGGUGUCAGAAGUGAAGGUGAUCUUGGAGACAGUGCCCUCUAACUUCAUAGUUAGCCUAAAUUCAUCACUGUGUGUGAAUUUACGUGUGUGUUUAAAAUUACAUGAUUGGGAAUUCUAUUCAUGGUUCUGGGACUUGAAUUAUUUCACAUUCCAUGUGCUUGGAGAACUUCUUCAAGGCUUUUUUUGCCUCAGUUUCCUCACCUGUAAAAUGGGCGUAACAGCAGCAUCUGCAUCCGUAGGGUUGUUAUGAGGAGUAAAUGAAUGACUGUGUGCAAAGCUCUUAGGACGAUGCUUGCUGUGAAGUUAGGGCUCCGUCAGUGCCGAUGAUGAUGGUGAUGAUUUCCGCACCAGACCAUUGAAGUCUAGCUUAUUGCUGUGAAGAGCUGAUUAAUGCAUAUCAUUUCUAUUAGCUCCUCUGGGCUUCCCACAAAGACAGCAGUAGGUUUAUGGGAAGUUUAUGCAGUGCUUUAUGGGAAGCGACUCUUCGGCUGCACUGCCAGGUGGGUAAAUGAGCCAGCUGGUCUAGAACAAGUGUUUAUUGAGCACCAAUUAUUUAACGAACACACAUUAAUUUGGCACACUCUGUGUGCGGAGGCCCUGUCCUGAUGACUGUAGAACUAUAAGCAUAAAUGUUUGGGGCUAAGAAGAAGGAGAAGGGAAUUCAUAUCGGCGGUAACAACUACUAAGUGUCACUCACUGUUAAUCUGUUAUUUCAUUUAAUCCUCACGACACCCCUAGGAGGAAAAUGUUACGACUCCCAUUUUCCAGAAGAGAAAAUUGAGUCUCAGGUUAAGAAACUCUCCAAGUUCACACAGCCAGAAUGUGUUGGGGGUGGAUUGAAGUCCAGAUCCAGUAGAAAACUAAUGAGAAUUUAAUCUCUGCUGAGCAGAGGAGGAAAAACCCAGCUGAAUGCAGGGAUGGCCACAGGACGGUCAGGGAGUGAAUUAGGAUGCUUUUGUUUAUGGCCUAAGUGUGGGCUUCAAUUGGUGGCUGUGCUCUGGCUGCCAAAAUAGGGUCAUGAAUGAAACUAGCAUUCCUUUUUCUAUGGAAAUGUCAGUUUAUGAGACACCCCGUGGACUUUGCCCUCCCUCUGGAUCGGGCUUCAUGGACAGGCAGGGCGGAACUGCAGCAGCCUUUGCAGAGAUACCAACCAUUCCUCCCUGUGGCCCAGCUGCUGCCGGCGUGAAGGUGUCCCUGGAUGUCGUGGAACUCAAGAUUUGUCUUUCCUCUUCGGAAGAACAGAUAAACCUGGAGCGAACGUUGUGCCCACCCUCUCAGGCUCUUGUUCUGAGGACCACAGGAUUGCUGGGACUUGGGGAAUUAUUCAGGAAGCUUCUGCUCUGAGAAACCUUUGCUCAGUGGAGGCAGUAGCAAUUAAUUUGCCCAUUCAGCCAGCUGCUUUUAAUUGGGCACCUACUAUGUCCCAUCCACAGUGCCAGGAACCAGGGGCACAGCCUGGAAGAGAACAGAUGUGGAUCCCCCAGGAAGCUUGAACACUCUUUGAUCUGGACAAAGUGUUUUUACAGCUGUGGUCACAGCUCGUGCCCACAGCAAGUAUGUGGGGGAGGCAAGGAUUUGUUAUCCCAUCUUCCAGAUGAAGAAACUGAGGCUGGAGAAGGCAAAGUGACUUGCUGACAACAUAAGGAAGUGACAUAACUUGCCUGAAGUCACCUGGUUUAUUGAUAAAGGUGAGAAAAAAAUAAGAAAAGUAGAAACACUCUCUACUACUCCACUAAUUUUCAGAUGUGAAAGAGAAGAAACUUCAGGACCUCAGAAUAUAACCAGAUUUGGAGAUCAGGUCUUUACCCAAUCAUUGGGGUGGACCCCAAUCCACUAUGACUGGUGUUCUCCUAAGAAGAGGAAAUUUAGACACAGACAUGUACAGAGAGAAGACCAUGUCAAGACACAGGGAGAAGAUGAUCCUCUAAGCCAAGGAGAGAAGCC
Equus quagga is the source of this 5858-nucleotide long non-coding RNA. RefSeq lists it as uncharacterized. NCBI's taxonomy places the organism in Eukaryota, Metazoa, Chordata, Mammalia, Perissodactyla, Equidae. The record is from RefSeq and is a predicted model, not a curated record. The transcript has 4 exons.